UGGCAACCCGCUUGGGUCCCCUUCCACCCUGUGGAGGCUCUGUUCUUUUGCUCUUCACAGUCAAUCUUGCUGCUGCUCACUCGUUGGGUCUGCACUACCUUUAUGGGCUGUAACACUCACUGUGAAGGUCUGUGGCUUCACUCCUAAAGUCAGCGAGACCACGAACCUACAGGGAGGAAUGAACAACUCUGGACUCACCACCUUUAAGAGCUGUAAUGCUCACUGUGAAGGUCUGCGGCUUUACUCCUGAAGUCAGGAAGACCACGAACCCACCAGAAGGAAUAAACUCCGGACACAUCUGAACAUCUGAAAGAACAAACUCUGGACAUACCAUCUUUAAGAACUGUAACACUCACCGCGAGGGUCCACGGCUUCAUUCCUGAAGUCAGCGAGACCAAGAACCCACUGGAAGGAACCAAUUCUGGACACAGUUGGGCCCUGAACAGACUGGAUGAUGCCCACCCACACGGAUGAAGGGCGGAUGUUGUUUACUCAGUCUGCUGAUUCCAACGCUAAUCUUUUCCAGAAACACCAUCACAGACACACCGAGAAAUAAUGCUUUAUCACCUAUGUGGGCAUUCUUGAGCCCAAUCAAGUUGCCACAUGAAAUUUACCAUCACACCUACCUGUCCACCUCUGCCCACACCUACUUUAAGUUUAACCCAAUAAUAAAUGAGACUUAAUCUCAUUUUUAGAGCCCUCCAAUGAAAAAUUUGUUAU
Molecule: long non-coding RNA, 720 nt
Filed under: Homo sapiens (human)
Lineage: Eukaryota; Metazoa; Chordata; Mammalia; Primates; Hominidae
Description: HSALNT0347886
Source: RNAcentral